CCUACGGGAGGCUGCAGUGGGGAAUAUUGGGCAAUGGGCGCAAGCCUGACCCAGCAACGCCGCGUGAAGGAAGAAGGCUUUCGGGUCGUAAACUUCUUUUGACAGGGAAGAGUAGAAGACGGUACCUGUCGAAUAAGCUACGGCUAACUUCGUGUCAGCAGCCGCGGUAAUUCGGAGGGGGCAAGCGCUGUCCGGCAUUACUGGGCGGAAAGGGCGUGUAGCCGGGUUGACAAGUCAGAGGUGAAAUCCUGGGGCUCAACCGCAGAACUGCAUUUGAAACUGUUGAACUUGAGUACUGGAGAGGCAGACGGAAUUCCUAGUGUAGGGGUGAAAUGCGUAGAUAUUAGGAGGAACACCAGUGGCGAAGGCGGUCUGCUGGACAGCAACUGACGGUGAGGCGCGAAAGCGUGGGGAGCAAACAGGAUUAGAUACCCCUGUAGUC
Molecule: ribosomal RNA, 442 nt
Filed under: uncultured bacterium
Lineage: Bacteria
Description: partial 16S ribosomal RNA
Rfam family: Bacterial small subunit ribosomal RNA
Source: RNAcentral